AGAGUUUGAUCCUGGCUCAGAGCGAACGCUGGCGGCAUGCUUAACACAUGCAAGUCGCACGGGCACUUCGGUGUCAGUGGCGGACGGGUGAGUAACGCGUAGGUAUCUAUCCUUGGGUGGGGGAUAACGGCUGGAAACGGCUGCUAAUACCGCAUGAUAACUGAGGUUCAAAGGCGCGAGUCGCCUGGGGAGGAGCCUGCGUACGAUUAGCUAGUUGGUGGGGUAAAGGCCUACCAAGGCUGCGAUCGUUAGCUGGUCUGAGAGGAUGAUCAGCCACAUUGGGACUGAGACACGGCCCAAACUCCUACGGGAGGCAGCAGUGGGGAAUAUUGGACAAUGGGCGAAAGCCUGAUCCAGCAAUGCCGCGUGUGUGAAGAAGGUCUUCGGAUUGUAAAGCACUUUCGACGGGGACGAUGAUGACGGUACCCGUAGAAGAAGCCCCGGCUAACUUCGUGCCAGCAGCCGCGGCAAUACGAAGGGGGCUAGCGUUGCUCGGAAUGACUGGGCGUAAAGGGCGCGUAGGCGGAUUGCACAGUCAGAUGUGAAAUUCCUGGGCUUAACCUGGGGGCUGCAUUUGAUACGUGUGAUCUAGAGUGAGGAAGAGGGUCGUGGAAUUCCCAGUGUAGAGGUGAAAUUCGUAGAUAUUGGGAAGAACACCGGUGGCGAAAGCGGCGACCUGGUCCUUGACUGACGCUGAGGCGCGAAAGCGUGGGGAGCAAACAGGAUUAGAUACCCUGGUAGUCCACGCUGUAAACGAUGUGUGCUGGAUGUUGGGCGACCUAGUCGCUCAGUGUCGUAGCUAACGCGAUAAGCACACCGCCUGGGGAGUACGCCGCAAGUUGAAACUCAAAGGAAUUGACGGGGGCCCGCACAGCGGUGGAGCAUGUGGUUUAAUCGAGCACGCGCAGAACCUUACCAGGCUUGACAUGGAGAAGGCC
RNAcentral lists this ribosomal RNA (938 nucleotides) under uncultured bacterium. RNAcentral's name for it is "bacterial SSU rRNA". It matches the Rfam family "Bacterial small subunit ribosomal RNA", at positions 8 to 997 of the family's 1533-position model. The record is from RNAcentral.